Molecule: long non-coding RNA, 205 nt
Filed under: Glycine max (soybean)
Lineage: Eukaryota; Viridiplantae; Streptophyta; Magnoliopsida; Fabales; Fabaceae
Description: long non-coding RNA (GMAX_LNC002557)
Source: RNAcentral
AAAAGUAAAAGUCAACCUGGUCUGAGUCUGAGGCAAUCGAAGAAGGAUUCAUCCACAGAGGAGAUAGUAUCAUGGACUUCCACCAACAACAGCUUCGUCGUCUCCUUUUUCAAGCAGCUCAAUACCUAUUUUGUGGCUUUUGCCACAGAAUCACUCAUUCAUAUAUAUAAGAUUCUACAUUAUGUUUAGAUUGCUUUUAUUUAAC